Molecule: microRNA precursor, 147 nt
Filed under: Gossypium hirsutum (cotton)
Lineage: Eukaryota; Viridiplantae; Streptophyta; Magnoliopsida; Malvales; Malvaceae
Also listed under: 1 other name
Description: MIR7502 microRNA precursor family
Rfam family: MIR7502 microRNA precursor family
Source: Rfam by way of RNAcentral
UGUAUAAAAACUUCACCCAUUUGUAUUGUUAAAAAGUGACUUGGCCAACGGAAUAACCCGAUAAUGAUACAUGACGUAUCAUUUGCACAUCAUGCUAAUGUAUAGGGACAAGUUUUUUAACAGUAGAAAUGAAUUGAAUUUUUAAUA